This is a non-coding RNA of Camellia sinensis, 690 nucleotides long. NCBI's taxonomy places the organism in Eukaryota, Viridiplantae, Streptophyta, Magnoliopsida, Ericales, Theaceae. The record is from RefSeq and is a predicted model, not a curated record.
UCCUCACUUGCACUUUACUUACUGACCCAAACCCAUUCAAACCCAAAAACUCCCAAAAACUCUCAGCCUCUCUCUCUCAUCCUCUAGGUCUCCUCUCUACUGAAACACCAAAAGUGAUUCAGUUCAGCAAGCAGACCAAAGUGAUUCGGUCCGGCGGUGGAGGGCUUCCGGCCACAUUGCUUUGUUUACCCAACCCAAGCCCUAGAUCCCCAAAUCUCCUUCAUUGACAACCAACAAAAGGAGUAACAUGUCAAUGGUUUACACCUCCACUAGUUCAACCAACGAUGGUCGCCUUUUCGAAAAUUGAGGUUGCAAAUGUGGCAAAAAAACGGCCGUUAAGAUAUCAGACUCACAAAAAAAUCCAAGGAGGCUUUACUUCAAGUGUGCAGAUGGCAGGUGCGAUUACUUUGCAUGCGAUUACUUUGCAUGGUGGGCACCUACUAGCCAACAUGGCAAUGCAUCAAAUAUCCAAUGGAGGCCUAAUUCUAUUCAUAGGAAUAAUGAAGAUGAGGGGGAGAAGAAUGAUUCUGAAAGAAACAAUGUUAAUAUGUUUAAUGUUAAAAUGAAUGCUGUAAACUUAGAUGUUAAUGUGCUGGUUUAGCUUUAAAAUGAAUGAACGUUUUAGCUUUUCCUUCUUGUUGAACAGUCAUUUUCUUGUGGAUGAAUGAAUGAAUGUUUUUGUAUAGUAAA